This 576-nucleotide ribosomal RNA is filed under the name uncultured eukaryote. Its description in RNAcentral is "SSU rRNA". It matches the Rfam family "Eukaryotic small subunit ribosomal RNA", at positions 174 to 758 of the family's 1831-position model. The record is from RNAcentral.
UAAAAACCCCGACUUCGGAAGGGGUGUAUUUAUUAGAUACAAAACCAAUGCCCUUCGGGGCUCUUUGGUGAUUCAUGAUAACUAUACGAAUCGCACGGCCUUGCGCCGGCGAUGGUUCAUUCAAAUUUCUUCCCUAUCAACUUUCGAUGUUUGGGUAUUGGCCAAACAUGGUUGCAACGGGUAACGGAGGGUUAGGGCUCGACCCCGGAGAAGGAGCCUGAGAAACGGCUACUACAUCCAAGGAAGGCAGCAGGCGCGCAAAUUACCCAAUCCCGACUCGGGGAGGUAGUGACAAUAAAUACUGAUACAGGGCCCUUUCGGGCCUUGUAAUUGGAAUGAGUACAAUUUAAAUCCCUUAACGAGGAACAAUUGGAGGGCAAGUCUGGUGCCAGCAGCCGCGGUAAUUCCAGCUCCACUAGCGUAUAUUAAAGUUGUUGUGGUUAAAAAGCUCGUAGUUGAACCUUGGGCCUGGCUGGCCGGUCCGCCUCACCGCGUGCACUGGUCCGGCCGGGCCUUUCCCUCUGUGGAACCCCAUACCCUUCACUGGGCGUGGCGGGGAAACAGGACAUUUACUUU